Molecule: long non-coding RNA, 1501 nt
Filed under: Cricetulus griseus (Chinese hamster)
Lineage: Eukaryota; Metazoa; Chordata; Mammalia; Rodentia; Cricetidae
Description: lncRNA (ENSCGRG00015030286.1)
Source: RNAcentral
GUUUUCAUUACAGAGAUUCCUUCAGUGAGAGGGGCCUGUAGAAGGAACUACUUGUCAUUGUUGUCCAUCCAUUUUGUAAGAAAGCUCCAUGGGCACCCACCGGAAGCCACAGGUGCCAGCUUACAACAUGAUGUGUCCGUAGUGUGGCCUAUGAAAUGUAAGGACCGUGACGUUCAAAAGGAAGAGUACGGUGUGGUGGCUCUCUUCCCUAAUCCCAGCAUUCAGAAGCCUGAGGCAGAAGGAUGGAGAUGAUGAUGAUGAUGUUAGAUGCGGUGAUACAGGCCUGAAAACCCAAUAUUUAGGAACCUGAAGCAGUAGGAUCAGGAGUUUAAGACCAGCCUAAGAUACGUGUCUAAAACAAAUACCUGUCUAAAAACAAAUCCAAAGGGGGUGGAGAGUAUGUUCUCUAUGCCCUGUUUUUUCUUUUCUAAAUGAAGACAUGGUGGAUCCUGAAGUGUAGGGAGAGACCCUGGAUACCUGUGCCUCUGACCAUGCCCGUUUGGGCGUGGCCACAGGUACAUAGAGGGGUAGGAUAAAGAUCAAGGAGGAGAGGCGCUGGCCCUCUCCAGGCCUGGACUCGGUUCCUCGUGUACACUUGUGUGUCAAGUGUCCAUGGAAGUCAGGAGAAGGACUGGAGUUACAAAAGGUUGCCCGCUACUGUCUGGGUGCAGAAAACUGAACUUAGAUCUUCUGCAAGAACAAUCAGUGCUCUUAACCACUGAGCUGGAGGUGAUAUAACCAUGAGAGGCAGCUUUCUCACAGGCCUUUCCAUGGCCUGCUUUCUGACACUCCCCAGUUAGCAGACAAGCAUUAGUAGCUUCUCUUGCUCACCUCUGCCAAUACUUGAGGCAAAACCAUUUGUCUUCUUUAUCUAAUUCUUGUAGAGCAAUCUUUGGCAGAGUUUUAGAAAUUGCUGGACCUUUGUUCUGAAACACUAAACUCCUACACUAGAAUCACACCACAUUCUACCAGUUAAAGUGGGAUCUUCUAGAUGCCAGCAGUUACUGGGGUUUUUGCCUUAGCCCUUCCCACCCACAACCCUCACCAAAUAAGUCAAAUACAAGCCAAAGCAUCCUUACAAAGAAUUCCAUAAUGCAGGUAAGUAACCUUUUCCUACAAAGGGACACAAUAAAAUAUUCAAGGCUUUAAGACCCACAUACAUCUCUCUCUAUGCUCAAGUAUCUUUAUUUGUGUGACAGUCCUUUUAAAGUGUUUUUGUUUGCUUGUUCUGUUUUUGAGGACCGGAAAAAGUCAGGUAUAAUGAUACCCACAACAUGGAAGGAGAGAGCCAACUCCCACAAAUUGUUAUCUGACCUGCACAUGGAUGGCAUGGGAUAUGUGUAAACACACACACUAAUUUUUCUAUCUGAAGAGUAAAAGUAGUGCACUGAAUAAAAGAUGAUACUAUCUAGAUGUAUUUAUAUUUUUUGCAUUUGUUUUGCCUUAUAGUUUUUUUAUUUUAUUUAUUAUGUAUACAAUUAUCUGCAUGCAUGCUUGCCAC